UUUUAUGAGAGUUUGAUCCUGGCUCAGGACGAACGCUGGCGGCGUGCCUAAUACAUGCAAGUCGAACGCCUCUUUUUCCACCGGAGCUUGCUCCACCGGAAAAAGAGGAGUGGCGAACGGGUGAGUAACACGUGGGUAACCUGCCCAUCAGAAGGGGAUAACACUUGGAAACAGGUGCUAAUACCGUAUAACAAUCGAAACCGCAUGGUUUUGAUUUGAAAGG
Molecule: ribosomal RNA, 223 nt
Filed under: Enterococcus faecium
Lineage: Bacteria; Bacillati; Bacillota; Bacilli; Lactobacillales; Enterococcaceae
Description: partial 16S ribosomal RNA
Rfam family: Bacterial small subunit ribosomal RNA
Source: RNAcentral